RNAcentral lists this non-coding RNA (45 nucleotides) under Echinostoma caproni. The record is from RNAcentral. Lineage: Eukaryota; Metazoa; Platyhelminthes; Trematoda; Plagiorchiida; Echinostomatidae.
GCACUGCUGACGAGUACCAAACAGGACGAAACAGCUGUCCAAUGC